GAGCCCGCUGAGCUCGGCGCUGGAGCAGGAGCGCUGCCGGCAGCCCGGCGGGCAGCGCGGAGGGGCGGCCGAGCCCCGGGUACAGCCGUGUCUGUGUGCGGCGGCUGCCGCUGCCGGGCGGGGGAUCCCGAGGGAGCCAUCGAACCAGCCGAAACAGCGAGAGACGGGGAGAUUCGGGCUUGGCGCGCACCAAGCGUUUGGGAUUGGUAGCUCCGGCAGACCAGCACUUCAUUUCUAAUGAGAAGGCAGUCAUCCAAAAACCAGCUUAAUGAAAAUGCUGCAUUGCACUGGAUUAUUCCUGCUGUACACUGCUGAGGAAUGAGGUGAAUGGCUUUGGGAGCUUCUGAAACAAAAGUACCUGCAGUGCUUUUAUGAUAUUGCCAUUUUCUGUCAUCAGACAAUCUGGAAUACCUGGAAACACAGAUCUGUUUAGUCAUGAGAUGGACCAGAGAUCCCUGCUUGCUAAUUUGCUUAAGAUGGCAUGUUUGCCAUGGCUGGAAUUCAUCCUCCCUAACCCCUACCAUCUGAAAGCUAGGGAGCUGACUGGGGGUGCACAAGGAGCUGGGAGGGGACACAGCUGAGACAGCUGACCCCAACUGACCACAGGGAUAUUCCAGACCAUAUGAUGUUGUGCUCAGCAUAUAAAGCUGGGAGAAGAAGGAAGGAAAGGGUGAUAUUUGGACUGGCGGUGUUUCUCUUCCCAAGUCACCAAUACCUGGAGUGAAGCCCUGCUUUCCUGGAGAUGGCUGAAUGCCUGCCUGUUGAUAGGAAGUGAAUAAAUUCCUUCUUCUGCUU
This is a long non-coding RNA of Passer domesticus (house sparrow), 795 nucleotides long. RefSeq lists it as uncharacterized. The transcript is spliced from 4 exons. The record is from RefSeq and is a predicted model, not a curated record. Lineage: Eukaryota; Metazoa; Chordata; Aves; Passeriformes; Passeridae.